Molecule: transfer RNA, 64 nt
Filed under: Epicauta chinensis
Lineage: Eukaryota; Metazoa; Arthropoda; Insecta; Coleoptera; Meloidae
Also listed under: 1 other name
Description: tRNA-Arg
Source: RNAcentral
AAAUAAGAAGCAAUUAUUGCAUUUAGUUUCGACCUAAAAGUAUGGUCAUAAGACCCUUAUUUAU